This is a non-coding RNA of Arachis ipaensis, 163 nucleotides long. The record is from RefSeq and is a predicted model, not a curated record. Lineage: Eukaryota; Viridiplantae; Streptophyta; Magnoliopsida; Fabales; Fabaceae.
UUUUAAGAGUAAAGUAUUGUUUUUGUUCCUAACGUUUGGGAUAAGUUUUAUUUGUAUUUUUAACGUUUAAAUUAUCUUAUUUGUAUCUUUAACAUUUAUAAAAGUGACUCAAUAUUAUCCUACUAUCAAUUAUACUAACAAAUCAGAUUAUAUUUUUCAAUUA